This 240-nucleotide ribosomal RNA is filed under the name uncultured bacterium. RNAcentral's name for it is "partial 16S ribosomal RNA". It matches the Rfam family "Bacterial small subunit ribosomal RNA", at positions 15 to 235 of the family's 1533-position model. The record is from RNAcentral.
GAUCCNGGCUCGGGAUGAACGCUGGCGGCGUGCUUAACACAUGCAAGUCGAGCGAAGCACUUUGCUUUGAUUUCUUCGGGAUGAAGAGCUUGGUGACUGAGCGGCGGACGGGUGAGUAACGCGUGGGUAACCUGCCUCAUACAGGGGGAUAACAGUUAGAAAUGACUGCUAAUACCGCAUAAGACCACAGCACCGCAUGGUGCAGGGGUAAAAACUCCGGUGGUAUGAGAUGGACCCGCG